AUGAACGCUAGCGACAGGCCUAACACAUGCAAGUCAGGGGCAGCACAAGGAGCAAUCUGAGGUGGCGACCGGCGCACGGGUGAGUAACACGUAUGCAACCUGCCUGUAAGCGGGGAAUAACCCGUUGAAAGACGGACUAAUACCGCAUAAUACUAAAUUACUGCAUGGUAAUUUAUUUAAACAUUUAUGGCUUACAGAUGGGCAUGCGCAUGAUUAGCUAGUUGGAGAGGUAACGGCUCCCCAAGGCAACGAUCAUUAGGGGUUCUGAGAGGAAGGUCCCCCACACUGGUACUGAGACACGGACCAGACUCCUACGGGAGGCAGCAGUGAGGAAUAUUAGUCAAUGGACGAGAGUCUGAACCAGCCAAGUCGCGUGCAGGAAGAAUGUUCCCUAUGGAUUGUAAACUGCUUUUGCAGGGGAAUAAAGUGCAUCACGUGUGAUGUUUUGUAUGUACUCUGCGAAUAAGGAUCGGCUAACUCCGUGCCAGCCGCGGC
RNAcentral lists this ribosomal RNA (495 nucleotides) under uncultured bacterium. RNAcentral's name for it is "bacterial SSU rRNA". It matches the Rfam family "Bacterial small subunit ribosomal RNA", at positions 29 to 518 of the family's 1533-position model. The record is from RNAcentral.